RNAcentral lists this ribosomal RNA (253 nucleotides) under uncultured bacterium. RNAcentral describes it as "partial 16S ribosomal RNA". It matches the Rfam family "Bacterial small subunit ribosomal RNA", at positions 524 to 776 of the family's 1533-position model. The record is from RNAcentral.
UACGUAGGGGGCAAGCGUUGUCCGGAUUUAUUGGGCGUAAAGCGCGUGUAGGUGGCCAUGUAGGUCCGCUGUGAAAACUCGAGGCUCAACCUCGAGACGCCGGUGGAAACCAUCAGACUAGAGUCCGGAAGAGGAGAGUGGAAUUCCUGGUGUAGCGGUGAAAUGCGCAGAUAUCAGGAAGAACACCCGUGGCUAAGGCGGCUCUCUAGUACGGUACUGACGCUGAGACGCGAAAGCGUGGGGAGCGAACAGG